RNAcentral lists this non-coding RNA (108 nucleotides) under Burkholderiales bacterium. RNAcentral describes it as "TPP sequence". It matches the Rfam family "TPP riboswitch aptamer (THI element)". From Rfam's summary of the family: Vitamin B(1) in its active form thiamin pyrophosphate (TPP) is an essential coenzyme that is synthesised by coupling of pyrimidine and thiazole moieties in bacteria. The previously detected thiamin-regulatory element, thi box was extended, resulting in a new, highly conserved RNA secondary structure, the THI element, which is widely distributed in eubacteria and also occurs in some archaea. Analysis of operon structures identified a large number of new candidate thiamin-regulated genes, mostly transporters, in various prokaryotic organisms. Lineage: Bacteria; Pseudomonadati; Pseudomonadota; Betaproteobacteria; Burkholderiales. The record is from RNAcentral.
GGCGAACGCUAGGGGUCCUGGCUGCGGAUAAUUGUUUGCAGCCGGGUGAGAAACACCCUCGAACCUGAUCUGGAUAAUGCCAGCGAAGGGAAGCUUUCGGAAUGCCUC